CAGGUAAAGGUGAGAGGCAGGUGAACAGACAGGUGACAGGUAAAGGUGAGAGGCAGGUGAACAGAGACAGGUGACAGGUAAAGGUGAGAGGCAGGUGAACAGACAGGUGACAGGUAAAGGUGAGAGGCAGGUGAACAGACAGGUGACAGGUAAAGGUGAGAGGCAGGUGAACAGAGACAGGUGACAGGGUAAGGUGAGAGGCAGGUGAACAGAGACAGGUGACAGGGUAAGGUGAGAGGCAGGUGAACAGAGACAGGUGACAGGUAAAGGUGAGAGGCAGGUGAACAGACAGGUGACAGGUAAAGGUGAGAGGCAGGUGAACAGAGACAGGUGACAGGUAAAGGUGAGAGGCAGGUGAACAGACAGGUGACAGGUAAAGGUGAGAGGCAGGUGAACAGACAGGUGACAGGUAAAGAUGAGAGGCAGGUGAACAGACAGGUGACAGGUAAAGGUGAGAGGCAGGUGAACAGACAGGUGACAGGGUAAGGUGAGAGGCAGGUGAACAGACAGGUGACAGGUAAAGGUGAGAGGCAGGUGAACAGACAGGUGACAGGGUAAGGUGAGAGGCAGGUGAACAGAGACAGGUGACAGGGUAAGGUGAGAGGCAGGUGAACAGACAGGUGACAGGUAAAGGUGAGAGGCAGGUGAACAGAGACAGGUGACAGGGUAAGGUGAGAGGCAGGUGAACAGACAGGUGACAGGUAAAGGUGAGAGGCAGGUGAACAGAGACAGGUGACAGGUAAAGGUGAGAGGCAGGUGAACAGACAGGUGACAGGUAAAGGUGAGAGGCAGGUGAACAGACAGGUGACAGGUAAAGGUGAGAGGCAGGUGAACAGAC
Molecule: long non-coding RNA, 838 nt
Filed under: Salmo salar (Atlantic salmon)
Lineage: Eukaryota; Metazoa; Chordata; Actinopteri; Salmoniformes; Salmonidae
Description: lncRNA (ENSSSAG00000121207.1)
Source: RNAcentral